Molecule: long non-coding RNA, 1096 nt
Organism: Brassica napus (rape)
Lineage: Eukaryota; Viridiplantae; Streptophyta; Magnoliopsida; Brassicales; Brassicaceae
Exons: 3
Source: RefSeq, a predicted model, not a curated record
CUGAAAAGGAAUUUGUUGUACUGUACAGUGUUGGAGUGCACACACCCGGAGAGCUCAAAGCACUAGAGAAGAGAAUGGAAUCUUCUCAGCUCUGAACUAGGAACCUCACAACCAGUGACUUAGUGAAAGAUCACCUGCGUUACUUGAUGGGUGGAAGAUCAAGUGUUGAAGAAGAGGUUCUCUGCAAGUUCACCUUCCCUGAGAGACAUGGUGCUCUGAUGAACUUCUUGGACUCUUUCAGUCCACGUUGGAACAUUUUUAUUAAUAUAAUUAUGCAAUUGUUUUAGGCUUCUCCUUCGUUGGUGAUAUUGACACUUCGGCUCCAUUCGAGUCAGUGAGAGAAGCCGCCACUCGCUUUGGCGGAUUCGGUUUCUAGAAACCUUCUUCCCUUAACAACAUCCCAAAGCAUCUCAGGUCUCAUCUCUCUCUCUCUCUCUCAUCUUGGUUUAUAGGGUUUAUUUACUGAAUUUGUUAGAAAAACAUCUUGCUUAAAUCUUAAAAUGUCGUGAUGCGUGAAGCUUAAAGUUUCGAACUUUUGCUACAGGACGAUGUGGACAAAGCUAAUAUUGUGGCGAGUGAGUUAUAGAAAGAACUUAUCUCCAAAGAAGGAGAAGCUUUGAAAGUCUUGAAGUCUCGAGUCGACCAAAGCCAUAGUUGAAGAGCUCAAAUCAAAGCUACACGGAAAAGAAGACAACGAGAACUGCGACAUGAACGUUCUGAAAGAGCUAAACCAAGCCAAGACGAAUCUUUGCAAGACGACAGUAGAUCUCGCUGCUAUAUGUGAGUCCGUCGAGUUACUAAACAAGAGACUUGAAGAGGAGCGAGCUGCGCUCGAGAAGACACGAGAGAGGUUAAACUCUGAGAAUGCGGCAGAGAUCUCAAAGGAGAUUCAGAGACUAAGUGAUGAUGUGUUGGAGUUUAGUAAAACAGGGUAAGAAGCGCGUUUUGCGGUUGAUAAAGCUGUGUUUGAGAUCGAACGGAUGAGGAGCAAGAUCAAAGCUGCUGAGAUGCGUUUGGUCGCUGCUAGGAAGAUGAAGGAAGCUGCUAGAGUGGCUGAAGCAGUUGCAAUAGCUGAAAUCAAAGAUGUCACCAGGAG